GUUAAAGGAAGAUGUCAGAAUAUUGUUUCAUCUAGUUGACAGCAAAAGUAGUCCUAUUCCUUACUGAGGUACCGGAAAGCGCUGCUGUGGAAAUGAAUGUUGCCGCAGUUGCAUUAGUGUAACCUCACUAAUGGAAACGAGGAAGAAGAGAGGGUGAGGAGAUCUGAAGUAGCAACAUGAAAAGCUGUAGAUGUCAAUAGACUUGUUUUUAAUCUUCGGAAAACACUUUUGGAAAAAU
This 238-nucleotide long non-coding RNA is filed under the name Phasianus colchicus (ring-necked pheasant). RNAcentral's name for it is "lncRNA (ENSPCLG00000003067.1)". The record is from RNAcentral. Lineage: Eukaryota; Metazoa; Chordata; Aves; Galliformes; Phasianidae.